RNAcentral lists this long non-coding RNA (879 nucleotides) under Triticum aestivum (bread wheat). RNAcentral's name for it is "long non-coding RNA (TAES_LNC026453)". Lineage: Eukaryota; Viridiplantae; Streptophyta; Magnoliopsida; Poales; Poaceae. The record is from RNAcentral.
UUGGAGCUGCUGUUUUGUAGGUAUAUUAACCACUGUAUUUAUCUUGUAAUAUGUUUGAGCUUAUGCAUGAUUUUUGAUUCACAUUUUUCACCGUGGAUUUUCCUUCUGUAUGACAAUUGACAAAUGGCUAGUCCAAGCCAACAAUGGGCUGUUUGUGUCUAUGUCGCUUUCUUUGUAUCCUUAAGAGUUUUGUUGUGCUGGAGUACAAACUAUGAACUAGAAUUCAUCAUUCUAGUAUAUGGAGGAAUUUAACCUUUGCUCCUGAAGCUUUUUGGUGAAUAAAAAACUAUAUUGCUGUAGUAGAUUUGUUAUUUGAUUCAUGAGCAUGCAUAACAUUUGACUGUUGUUCUACUAGCCACUUCUUGUCCUGUUAGUCCAUUUUAUUUUUUAUGCACAAAGUGGCAGAAGAUAAUUCCGAUGCAGAACUACCUCCAUCCUGACCCUUCCUCUGUUUUCUCUAAACCAGAAAUGGCAUUUGAAGAAUAACCAAGGAUAUCAAGAAGCUUUUGGAUGUAGGCAAGCUUGGAGCUGCUGUUUCAAUGUCAUGCUUUGAUGGUUGUCUUUUGAGCUGUUGUUUCUAUGUGUAAUCCUUUAAGUCUGUUGGCUGUACCGGACUAUUUAAACUCUGAACUAUGCUGUGAUGCUUGAACUGUUGUUGGACUGUUAAGGGUUAUGAUGGAGGCCACUUUAUAACUAAUGUGUGCCUGUUAAGUUGGACAGAUGCAGUUUUAUUAAUCCCUAGAGCUUAUUUGCUGAAGUUUAUAUGAUCAAUCCUGAUGGUCGUUGUGCUGCUAUAUUUAUGCUCUGUUUUAUUUCAAAUCUUGUUUGAAUUUUGGCCGAAUUUCGGACAAAUUUUGGCCAAAUUUUCAAAUUUUGAUU